This is a long non-coding RNA of Rosa rugosa (rugosa rose), 953 nucleotides long. RefSeq lists it as uncharacterized. The transcript has 3 exons. Lineage: Eukaryota; Viridiplantae; Streptophyta; Magnoliopsida; Rosales; Rosaceae. The record is from RefSeq and is a predicted model, not a curated record.
AUUCGCAUCUGAGGCUUUGCUUCUUGCAAAUCUAAAUGGGUUAUGACAUUUAUGUUAUGUCGGUCCUUGAGAUUUGAAUAGAAGUUGGGGUAAUGCCUAUCAGGUGUUUGUAGAAAUGUCUUGUUGGAACUGUUGAAAUGUCUAGUAGGUGUUUGUAGAAAUGUCUAAGUGGAGCACUUGAAAUUGGGUUGGUUUUCACUAUUGAAACGGCUCUGUUUUUCGCUCAAAGUCACACUGUUUUGAGUAUGUUAAUCAUUCUACACAUGAUGGUAUGAAUUGACGGUGGUUUUAAAGCUACCUAGUGUUUCUUCGUUCUUGAAUUUGAUAGGUUUAUUUCUAUGAUAAAAACUAAGACUGGUACAUAAUCGUUGAUAUGGUUAGUCGUGUUGUAUUGAUGUCUUCAAAUUUAACAAUAAGGUCAGUAACUUGAAUUUAGCUUUUGUUCCUUGUAUUUUUCUUUCUCGUGUCACUUAUGAUUGCUUUUAUAAUUACCUGCACACUAACAUCUGAGCUAUAACAUGAGUUUAAUGUGUCAUUUUUAGUAGGUUAUAUGGGAUUCAAUUGCACUCUUACGCAUAGCAGCCUCAUUUCCUGGGGUUGAAUCUUCUUGAGUAAUUGAACUACUGCUGCCAUCCUUUUUGGACAAUUUUGAUCCCUGGGCAGCCGCUGCUAAGUUUUCAUCAAGUUGAGAUGCAAGAGAAUUUGGUAAAAUGAGUUGCAGUUAAAGGCAUCAAGAUUUCGGAGACUUUGGACUAACAUGAUUAAUUGCUUAUGGGGGAUGCUGGUGUUCUUGAAGCUCUGUUUAGAACUUAGCUAAAAUUGUAUCCAAGUAUAUUUUGUACUUGAUGUAUUUGUAUUCUUUUAUAACAAGUAAUUCAUGGAUUUGUAUUCAACAGUUGAUUUUUAUAUAUAAAGCAUAUUGUUAUCAAUUAAGUGUUGUUGCCUAGGACAAU